GAUGAACGCUAGCGGCAGGCUUAACACAUGCAAGUCGAGGGGUAUAGGGAGCUUGCUUCCUAGAGACCGGCGCACGGGUGCGUAACGCGUAUGCAAUCUACCUUUUGCAGAGGAUAGCCCAGAGAAAUUUGGAUUAAUACCUCAUAGUAUAGCAGUUUCGCAUGAAACCACUAUUAAAGUCACAACGGCAAAAGAUGAGCAUGCGUCCCAUUAGCUUGUUGGUAAGGUAACGGCUUACCAAGGCAACGAUGGGUAGGGGUCCUGAGAGGGAGAUCCCCCACACUGGUACUGAGACACGGACCAGACUCCUAACGGGAGGACAGCAGUGAGGAAUAU
This 336-nucleotide ribosomal RNA is filed under the name uncultured bacterium. RNAcentral's name for it is "bacterial SSU rRNA". It matches the Rfam family "Bacterial small subunit ribosomal RNA", at positions 28 to 364 of the family's 1533-position model. The record is from RNAcentral.